GACGAGGUGAUAAAUCCGGCGUCGAGCAAAUGACCGCCCUUUCGAACAGCAAGUCUGACCACAUCUCAUGAAAGAAAUCACUGUAUUUCGACAAUGAUUCUUUAGAGGCUGAAAAAAGAAAGAGUCAGUGGAAAAUGUUUUAAAGGUUCUUGAGAGUGAUACGCAGUAGUGUAAACGUAGUUUCCUACCAAAGGAGUUUCCGUGCCUUCAAAUCGUCACCCCACGCUGGAAUGAUUCACGGCUGUUGGCCACAUCGACACACAGUCUUCACGUACAUCGAAAGGACAUACAGUUUUCAUCUACUUCGAAAGGGCACACAAUCUUUACCUACAUCGAAAGGACAUACAUUCUUCAUUUACAUCGGAAGGACAUACAGUCUUCACCUACAUCGAAAGACAUAAAGUCUUCAUCUACAUCGAAAUGACAUACACUCUUCUUCUACAUCGAAAGGACAUACAAGGCUUCAUCUACAUCGGAAGGACAUUACAGUUUUCACCUACAUCGAAAGGACAGUCUUCAUCUACAACGAAAUGAUACACAAUCUUCAUCUCCUUCUGGAGGAGACAUGGUCUUCAAACACUUUCUUGAUUUAUACUACGGGAUUAUAUAAUUUACAAAGGAGGAAUACAAAUUUCCCAACAGACGAA
Stegodyphus dumicola is the source of this 647-nucleotide long non-coding RNA. The record is from RefSeq and is a predicted model, not a curated record. NCBI's taxonomy places the organism in Eukaryota, Metazoa, Arthropoda, Arachnida, Araneae, Eresidae.